CUACGGGAUGCUGCAGUAGGGAAUAUUGCGCAAUGGGGGAAACCCUGACGCAGCAACGCCGCGUGGAGGAUGACACUUUUCGGAGCGUAAACUCCUUUUGUUAGGGAAGAAUAAUGACGGUACCUAACGAAUAAGCACCGGCUAACUCCGUGCCAGCAGCCGCGGUAAUACGGAGGGUGCAAGCGUUACUCGGAAUCACUGGGCGUAAAGGACGCGUAGGCGGAUUAUCAAGUCUCUUGUGAAAUCUAAUGGCUUAACCAUUAAACUGCUUGGGAAACUGAUAAUCUAGAGUAAGGAGAGGUAGAUGGAAUUCUUGGUGUAGGGGUAAAAUCCGUAGAGAUCAAGAAGAAUACCCAUUGCGAAGGCGAUCUACUGGAACUUAACUGACGCUAAUGCGUGAAAGCGUGGGGAGCAAACAGGAUUAGAUACCCGCGUAGUC
This 439-nucleotide ribosomal RNA is filed under the name uncultured bacterium. Its description in RNAcentral is "partial 16S ribosomal RNA". It matches the Rfam family "Bacterial small subunit ribosomal RNA", at positions 339 to 795 of the family's 1533-position model. The record is from RNAcentral.